This 492-nucleotide ribosomal RNA is filed under the name uncultured bacterium. RNAcentral describes it as "partial 16S ribosomal RNA". It matches the Rfam family "Bacterial small subunit ribosomal RNA", at positions 29 to 507 of the family's 1533-position model. The record is from RNAcentral.
AGUGAACGCUGGCGGUAGGCCUAACACAUGCAAGUCGAACGGCAGCACAGUAAGGGCUUGCUCUUACGGGUGGCGAGUGGCGGACGGGUGAGGAAUACAUCGGAAUCUACUUUUUCGUGGGGGAUAACGUAGGGAAACUUACGCUAAUACCGCAUACGACCUACGGGUGAAAGCAGGGGAUCUUCGGACCUUGCGCGAUUGAAUGAGCCGAUGUCGGAUUAGCUAGUUGGCGGGGUAAAGGCCCACCAAGGCGACGAUCCGUAGCUGGUCUGAGAGGAUGAUCAGCCACACUGGAACUGAGACACGGUCCAGACUCCUACGGGAGGCAGCAGUGGGGAAUAUUGGACAAUGGGCCCAAGCCUGAUCCAGCCAUACCGCGUGGGUGAAGAAGGCCUUCGGGUUGUAAAGCCCUUUUGUUGGGAAAGAAAAGCAGCAGGUUAAUACCCCGCUGUUCUGACGGUACCCAAAGAAUAAGCACCGGCUAACUUCGUG